RNAcentral lists this ribosomal RNA (497 nucleotides) under uncultured bacterium. RNAcentral's name for it is "partial 16S ribosomal RNA". It matches the Rfam family "Bacterial small subunit ribosomal RNA", at positions 28 to 507 of the family's 1533-position model. The record is from RNAcentral.
GACGAACGCUGGCGGCGUGCCUAAUACAUGCAAGUAGAACGCUGAAGCGAGGAGCUUACUCUUCUUGGAUGAGUUGCGCACGGGUGAGUAACGCGUAGGUAACCUGCCUUGUAGCGGGGGAUAACUAUUGGAAACGAUAGCUAAUACCGCAUAACAAUGGAUGACACAUGUCAUUUAUUUGAAAGGGGCAAUUGCUCCACUACAAGAUGGACCUGCGUUGUAUUAGCUAGUAGGUGAGGUAAUGGCUCACCUAGGCGACGAUACAUAGCCGGCCUGAGAGGGUGAUCGGCCACACUGAGACGGAGACACGGCCCAGACUCCUACGGGAGGCAGCAGUAGGGAAUCUUCGGCAAUGGGGGCAACCCUGACCGAGCAACGCCGCGUGAGGGAAGAAGGUUUUCGGAUCGUAAAGCUCUGUUGUAAGUCAAGAACGGGUGUGAGAGUGGAAAGUUCACACUGUGACGGUAGCUUACCAGAAAGGGACGGCUAACUACGUG